This 253-nucleotide ribosomal RNA is filed under the name uncultured bacterium. RNAcentral's name for it is "partial 16S ribosomal RNA". It matches the Rfam family "Bacterial small subunit ribosomal RNA", at positions 524 to 776 of the family's 1533-position model. The record is from RNAcentral.
UACAGAGGUCUCAAGCGUUGUUCGGAUUCAUUGGGCGUAAAGGGUGCGUAGGCGGCGCGGUAAGUCGGGUGUGAAAUCUCGGAGCUUAACUCCGAAACUGCAUUCGAUACUGCCGUGCUUGAGGACUGGAGAGGAGACUGGAAUUCACGGUGUAGCAGUGAAAUGCGUAGAGCUCGUGAGGAAGACCGGUGGCGAAGGCGGAUCUCUGGACGGCCCCUGACGCUGAGGCGCGAAGGCUAGGGGAGCAAACGGG